This 767-nucleotide ribosomal RNA is filed under the name uncultured bacterium. RNAcentral's name for it is "bacterial SSU rRNA". It matches the Rfam family "Bacterial small subunit ribosomal RNA", at positions 8 to 767 of the family's 1533-position model. The record is from RNAcentral.
AGAGUUUGAUCAUGGCUCAGGAUGAACGCUAGCGGCAGGCUUAACACAUGCAAGUCGAGGGGUAACAUUGGAGCUUGCUUCAGAUGACGACCGGCGCACGGGUGCGUAACGCGUAUACAAUCUACCUUUUACACUGGGGGAUAGCCUUUAGAAAUGAAGAUUAAUACCCCAUAGUAUCCCGAAACCGCAUGGUAUUCGGGAUUAAAGAUUUAUCGGUAAAAGAUGAGUAUGCGUCCUAUUAGCUAGAUGGUAAGGUAACGGCUUACCAUGGCAACGAUAGGUAGGGGCCCUGAGAGGGGGAUCCCCCACACUGGUACUGAGACACGGACCAGACUCCUACGGGAGGCAGCAGUGAGGAAUAUUGGACAAUGGGCGAGAGCCUGAUCCAGCCAUGCCGCGUGCAGGAAGACUGCCCUAUGGGUUGUAAACUGCUUUUAUACAGGUAGAAACACUCUCACGUGUGAGAAUUUGACGGUACUGUAAGAAUAAGGAUCGGCUAACUCCGUGCCAGCAGCCGCGGUAAUACGGAGGAUCCAAGCGUUAUCCGGAAUCAUUGGGUUUAAAGGGUCCGUAGGUUGUUAAUUAAGUCAGAGGUGAAAUCCUGCAGCUCAACUGUAGAAUUGCCUUUGAUACUGAUUAACUUGAGUUAUUAUGAAGUAGUUAGAAUAUGUAGUGUAGCGGUGAAAUGCAUAGAUAUUACAUAGAAUACCAAUUGCGAAGGCAGAUUACUAAUAAUCAACUGACACUGAUGGACGAAAGCGUGGGGA